This 76-nucleotide transfer RNA is filed under the name Algoriphagus hitonicola. Its description in RNAcentral is "tRNA-Lys". It matches the Rfam family "tRNA". From Rfam's summary of the family: Transfer RNA (tRNA) molecules are approximately 80 nucleotides in length. Their secondary structure includes four short double-helical elements and three loops (D, anti-codon, and T loops). The record is from RNAcentral. RNAcentral also lists the same sequence under 4 other names. Lineage: Bacteria; Pseudomonadati; Bacteroidota; Cytophagia; Cytophagales; Cyclobacteriaceae.
GAUUCCGUAGCUCAGCUGGUAGAGCAUAACACUUUUAAUGUUAGGGUCCUGGGUUCGAGCCCCAGCGGGAUCACCA